This 332-nucleotide unclassified non-coding RNA is filed under the name soil metagenome. RNAcentral's name for it is "partial contains 5.8S ribosomal RNA, internal transcribed spacer 2, and large subunit ribosomal RNA". The stretch from base 1 to 120 matches the Rfam family "5.8S ribosomal RNA", at positions 35 to 154 of the family's 154-position model. The record is from RNAcentral.
GAUGAAGAACGUAGCGAAAUGCGAUAAGUAGUGUGAAUUGCAGAAUUCAGUGAAUCAUCGAAUCUUUGAACGCACAUUGCGCCCUUCGGUAUUCCGUCGGGCAUGCCUGUUCGAGCGUCAUUUAAACCUUCAAGCUAAGCUUGGUGUUGGGUGACUGUCCGCCUCACGGCGGACUCGCCUCAAAAUUAUUGGCGGCCGGUACAUUGGCUUCGAGCGCAGCAGAAACGCGAACUCGGGCCCGUCGUAUUGGCUCCCAGAAGCUAUCUUCACAAUUUUGACCUCGGAUCAGGCAGGGAUACCCGCUGAACUUAAGCAUAUCAAUAAGCGGAGGA